RNAcentral lists this small RNA (167 nucleotides) under Arabidopsis thaliana (thale cress). RNAcentral's name for it is "ATSL280380". The record is from RNAcentral. Lineage: Eukaryota; Viridiplantae; Streptophyta; Magnoliopsida; Brassicales; Brassicaceae.
AAUAUUAUAAAUAUUCGAACUUCAUAAGAAAAUGACAAAAUGAUGUUUAAUUUCACGGGACGAGGUUAUAUGGUGGGAUGGGUUUGGAUUGAUAUUAAUACGGGAUGGUAUAUUAUGAAUGUAUCUAUAGAUCAUCUUAAAAACAAAAAUUUAAUUUUUUAUUUAAU